ACACCCAUCAAUUAUGGCCAUUGUGAAACGAUCAAAGCGAGGGACCUGGAAAGCGAGCUGCAAAGGCACUCAAGUAGUGGUAGCUAACAUGGCCACUGAUCUGAUAGUCAGCCAUAGAUUAUCAAAUUAAAGAUAAUUAAAUUGUUAGGACAAGUACUUUUAGAGUCACUGCAAUGUUAUACUAUUACCAUAGGUGGAGGGACUCUAUCAGAGUAUCGUAAUGUGCCUCAGGUCAUUGGAGACAAGGGUCUAAUGUAUUUCAGCUAACAUUUCUCAGAAGACUGAAUUUUGUAAAAA
This is a long non-coding RNA of Amphimedon queenslandica, 297 nucleotides long. RefSeq lists it as uncharacterized. The transcript has 3 exons. The record is from RefSeq and is a predicted model, not a curated record. Lineage: Eukaryota; Metazoa; Porifera; Demospongiae; Haplosclerida; Niphatidae.